GCCUAUGCCAUAGGAGGGAAGAGAUUAUUACAGCCUGUUCCAAGUCUUCAAAUUACAGUUUUGAUUUGGGAGAGGAGAAAUGAAGGAAAGGAUGUCUGCCUCUAGGACCUGUGAUCUGCUCUUUGCUUUGGAAGCUCAGAGAACAAAGGCACACAUUCACUGGAUGCCAGGCCGCAACAAGGGACUAAUGCUAAAACUCCCAGAUACCUGCUGCUUCCUGGAUAAAGGAAGAAUUGCGUUUGAGUGCAAGUAGAAAGGAUGCAGAGCCAUGGCUACACAUGUAGAGCAAGAUUUUCAGUGCCUGAGAAGAGAGAAGACAUCAAGUAAAAGAACACAUUGGGCUGUAACUUAGAUACACUGACACAAACCCAGGGCCCAGAAAAGGCCCCUGUGCUGCCACACCAUACACACACCUCCUGGUGUAGUAUCCACACCAUUGUCCUCUUACUUCCCCUUGGGCCAUUCUGGAAACUGGAUCCUGUCUAAGCUCUGGCCUGGCCUGUCGACUCAACCAGCGCCUUGGGUACGUCCUCUUUCCUGCUUACCUUGAGUUUAACAUGACAGGAAUUGCUCUGUAAGCGGUUCAGGAGGUACUCCAACAGACAUUGGCUGCUUCCCACUGACUCAUGGGAAAUUUCUGGAAGGCAAUCAUGUUAGGGAAAGAAUAUUCUCCAGAUUACACUAAAGUGAAGGGGAAAAUUGAGCCUUCCAAUUACAACCUCCUCUUUUUUUCCAUAAUUGUUUCUUUUGAGGAGAAAUUACAAUAACUUAGGUUUAGCUGAAGUAUCAGCAAACAACCUUCUUCUGUCUUCCCAGUACCAUUGCCCAAUAACCUCAAUUAAUCCAAGAAUCCUUGAUGGGUAAACCCAUCAAAAGCCAUAGCUGUUUCAUGGUCUGUCCCAAAACUUGCUUUCUUGGGAAAAGGAUACUAGCAAUUUCUUCAAACAGGUAGCCCGGGCAGGGGACAUCAUCAUCAGACGUUCCUUUCAUCAGGAUUGGGAGCUAGAUGAGAACAAGAGAACCCCCUUCCAUUGGUUAUCUUUUCACACAGGGAUAUACCUAUACCUAUGUCCAUUCUUUAGGUGUAGUUCUUUCCAGGCACACGAAGAAUGUGACCUAGAUACUUGAUCUAAAAGCCUGGUGUUGCAAAUGGCACUUUUAGCUCCAAAUUUCUUUUCAUCUCUUUUUCAAUAAGUCAGACAAAGAGGGUUGUUGGGAAUGCUACUGAUAGCUCUUAAGGCUGGAA
This is a long non-coding RNA of Sarcophilus harrisii (Tasmanian devil), 1246 nucleotides long. RefSeq lists it as uncharacterized. The record is from RefSeq and is a predicted model, not a curated record. NCBI's taxonomy places the organism in Eukaryota, Metazoa, Chordata, Mammalia, Dasyuromorphia, Dasyuridae. The transcript has 2 exons.